GACGAACCGUCCGAACGUUAUUCGGAAUCACUGGGCUUAAAGGGUGCGUAGGCGGCGCGGAAAGUUGGGUGUGAAAUCCCUCGGCUUAACCGAGGAACGGCGCCCAAAACUACCGUGCUCGAGGGAGAUAGAGGUGAGCGGAACUUAGGGUGGAGCGGUGAAAUGCGUAGAGAUCCGGAGGAACACCGACGGCGCAGGCAGCGUCCUGGCCGCUUGCUGACACUGAGGCACGAAAGCUGGGGGAGCAAACAGG
Molecule: ribosomal RNA, 253 nt
Filed under: uncultured bacterium
Lineage: Bacteria
Description: partial 16S ribosomal RNA
Rfam family: Bacterial small subunit ribosomal RNA
Source: RNAcentral